UCUUUCGGAGCGUAAACUCUGUUGUUAGGGAAGAACAAGUACCGUUCGAACAGGGCGGUACCUUGACGGUACCUAACCAGAAAGCCACGGCUAACUACGUGCCGGCAGCCGCGGUAAUACGUAGGUGGCAAGCGUUGUCCGGAAUUAUUGGGCGUAAAGCGCGGGCAGGCGGUUUCUUAAGUCUGAUGUGAAAGCCCCCGGCUCAACCGGGGAGGGUCAUUGGAAACUGGGGAACUUGAGUGCAGAAGAGGAGAGUGGAAUUCCACGUGUAGCGGUGAAAUGCGUAGAGAUGUGGAGGAACACCAGUGGCGAAGGCGACUCUCUGGUCUGUAACUGACGCUGAGGCGCGAAAGCGUGGGGAGCGAACAGGAUUAGAUACCCUGGUAGUCCACGCCGUAAACGAUGAGUGCUAAGUGUUAGAGGGUUUCCGCCCUUUAGUGCUGCAGCAAACGCAUUAAGCACUCCGCCUGGGGAGUACGGUCGCAAGACUGAAACUC
This 497-nucleotide ribosomal RNA is filed under the name Bacillus sonorensis. RNAcentral's name for it is "bacterial SSU rRNA". It matches the Rfam family "Bacterial small subunit ribosomal RNA", at positions 415 to 902 of the family's 1533-position model. Lineage: Bacteria; Bacillati; Bacillota; Bacilli; Caryophanales; Bacillaceae. The record is from RNAcentral.